Molecule: ribosomal RNA, 253 nt
Filed under: uncultured bacterium
Lineage: Bacteria
Description: partial 16S ribosomal RNA
Rfam family: Bacterial small subunit ribosomal RNA
Source: RNAcentral
GACGGAAGGUGCAAGCGUCGCUCGGAGUCACUGGGCGUAAAGGGUGCGUAGGCGGCCGCGCAAGUCUGGUGUGAAAGCCCCGGGCUCAGCCCGGGAAGGGCGCUCGAAACGGCGCGGCUCGAGUGCCGGAGGGGAGAGUGGAAUUCCUGGUGUAGCGGUGAAAUGCGUAGAUAUCAGGAGGAAUACCGGUGGCGAAAGCGACUCUCUGGACGGCAACUGACGCUGAGGCACGAAAGCGUGGGGAGCAAACAGG